GACGAACGCUGGCGGCGUGCUUAACACAUGCAAGUCGAACGGAAAGGCCCUGCUUUUGUGGGGUGCCCGAGUGGCGAACGGGUGAGUAACACGUGAGUAACCUGCCCUUGACUUUGGGAUAACUUCAGGAAACUGGGGCUAAUACCGGAUAGGAGCUCCUGCUGCAUGGUGGGGGUUGGAAAGUUUCGGCGGUUGGGGAUGGACUCGGGGCUUAUCAGCUUGUUGGUGGGGUAGUGGCUUACCAAGGCUUUGACGGGUAGCCGGCCUGGGAGGGUGACCGGCCACAUUGGGACUGAGAGACGGCCCAGACUCCUACGGGAGGCAGCAGUGGGGAAUAUUGCACAAUGGGCGGAAGCCUGAUGCAGCAACGCCGCGUGCGGGAUGACGGCCUUCGGGUUGUAAACCGCUUUCGCCUGUGACGAAGCGUGAGUGACGGUAAUGGGUAAAGAAGCACCGGCUAACUACGUG
Molecule: ribosomal RNA, 468 nt
Filed under: uncultured bacterium
Lineage: Bacteria
Description: partial 16S ribosomal RNA
Rfam family: Bacterial small subunit ribosomal RNA
Source: RNAcentral